This 465-nucleotide ribosomal RNA is filed under the name uncultured bacterium. RNAcentral describes it as "partial 16S ribosomal RNA". It matches the Rfam family "Bacterial small subunit ribosomal RNA", at positions 28 to 507 of the family's 1533-position model. The record is from RNAcentral.
GACGAACGCUGGCGGCGUGCUUAACACAUGCAAGUCGAACGGAAAGGCCCUGCUUGCAGGGUACUCGAGUGGCGAACGGGUGAGUAACACGUGGGUGAUCUGCCCUGCACUUCGGGAUAAGCCUGGGAAACUGGGUGUAAUACCGGAUAGGAGCCAUUUUUCGUGUUAUGGUUGGUAAGUUUUUUCGGUGUAGGAUGAGAUCGCGGCCUAUCAGCUUGUUGGUGGGGUAAUGGCCUACCAAGGCGGCGACGGGUAGCCGGCCUGAGAGGGUGGACGGCCACAAUGGGACUGAGGUACGGCCCAGACUCCUACGGGAGGCAGCAGUGGGGAAUAUUGGACAAUGGGCGCAAGCCUGAUGCAGCGACGCCGCGUGGGGGAUGACGGCCUUCGGGUUGUAAACUCCUUUCGCUAGGGACGAAGCUUUUUGUGACGGUACCUAGAUAAGAAGCACCGGCUAACUACGUG